This is a non-coding RNA of Stegodyphus mimosarum, 64 nucleotides long. The record is from Rfam. Lineage: Eukaryota; Metazoa; Arthropoda; Arachnida; Araneae; Eresidae.
CUCUUUUUAAUAUGAUAACAUUAUCUUAAACCUUAACUGGAGGAUAAUGUAAGAUGUAGAAGAG